This 74-nucleotide transfer RNA is filed under the name Ephedra przewalskii. RNAcentral's name for it is "tRNA-Met". The record is from RNAcentral. Lineage: Eukaryota; Viridiplantae; Streptophyta; Gnetopsida; Ephedrales; Ephedraceae.
CUCCCACAAGUUUUUCCGUUGCAUUUUCUAUGUUUGGCAUGAUUGGGAUAUGAGUACUUGGCUACCCUAAGUCG